Molecule: ribosomal RNA, 229 nt
Filed under: uncultured bacterium
Lineage: Bacteria
Description: partial 16S ribosomal RNA
Rfam family: Bacterial small subunit ribosomal RNA
Source: RNAcentral
CGCGUAGGCGGUACUGUAAGUCAGGUGUGAAAGUCCUGGGCUCAACCCAGGAAGUGCAUCUGAAACUGCAGAACUUGAGUAUCGGAGGGGAAAGUGGAAUUCCAGGUGUAGAGGUGAAAUUCGUAGAUAUCUGGAGGAACACCGGUGGCGAAGGCGACUUUCUGGACGAAUACUGACGCUGAGGCGCGAAAGCGUGGGGAGCAAACAGGAUUAGAUACCCUGGUAGUCC